UACAGAGGCCCCGAGCGUUAUCCGGAAUCAUUGGGCGUAAAGAGUUCGUAGGCGGUUAUGUGCGUCUGCUGUUAAAUAGUUGGGCUCAACCCAACUGAUGCAGUGGAUACGACAUAACUUGAGGCAGGAAGAGGUAGACGGAACUCAUGGUGAAGCAGUGAAAUGCGUUGAUAUCAUGGGGAACACCAAUUGCGAAGGCAGUCUACUGGUCCUGUCCUGACGCUGAGGAACGAAAGCGUGGGGAGCGAAGCGG
This 253-nucleotide ribosomal RNA is filed under the name uncultured bacterium. RNAcentral's name for it is "partial 16S ribosomal RNA". It matches the Rfam family "Bacterial small subunit ribosomal RNA", at positions 524 to 776 of the family's 1533-position model. The record is from RNAcentral.